CGGCGUGCAGCCCGGCCAGGAAACCGGCGUUGGGGUCGUCGGGAUCCACCCGCGGCACCGGCAGCGCCAGCGCGGCCCCGGCCGUGUCGA
RNAcentral lists this transfer RNA (90 nucleotides) under Streptomyces albospinus. RNAcentral describes it as "tRNA-Pro". The record is from RNAcentral. Lineage: Bacteria; Bacillati; Actinomycetota; Actinomycetes; Kitasatosporales; Streptomycetaceae.